GGUGAACCUGCGGAAGGGAUCAUUA
This 25-nucleotide ribosomal RNA is filed under the name uncultured Tuber. RNAcentral describes it as "partial 18S ribosomal RNA". The record is from RNAcentral. Lineage: Eukaryota; Fungi; Ascomycota; Pezizomycetes; Pezizales; Tuberaceae.